GUGGGGAAUAUUGGACAAUGGGCGAAAGCCUGAUCCAGCCAUGCCGCGUGUGUGAAGAAGGUCUUCGGAUUGUAAAGCACUUUAAGUUGGGAGGAAGGGCAGUAAGUUAAUACCUUGCUGUUUUGACGUUACCGACAGAAUAAGCACCGGCUAACUUCGUGCCAGCAGCCGCGGUAAUACGAAGGGUGCAAGCGUUAAUCGGAAUUACUGGGCGUAAAGCGCGCGUAGGUGGUUUUGUAAGUUGGAGGUGAAAUCCCCGGGCUCAACCUGGGAACUGCCUCCAAAACUGCAUGACUAGAGUACGGUAGAGGGUAGUGGAAUUUCCUGUGUAGCGGUGAAAUGCGUAGAUAUAGGAAGGAACACCAGUGGCGAAGGCGACUACCUGGACUGAUACUGACACUGAGGUGCGAAAGCGUGGGGAGCAAACAGGAUUAGAAACCCCAGUAGUC
Molecule: ribosomal RNA, 449 nt
Filed under: uncultured bacterium
Lineage: Bacteria
Description: bacterial SSU rRNA
Rfam family: Bacterial small subunit ribosomal RNA
Source: RNAcentral